This 529-nucleotide ribosomal RNA is filed under the name uncultured bacterium. RNAcentral describes it as "bacterial SSU rRNA". It matches the Rfam family "Bacterial small subunit ribosomal RNA", at positions 355 to 896 of the family's 1533-position model. The record is from RNAcentral.
UGGGGAAUAUUGCACAAUGGGCGGAAGCCUGAUGCAGCGACGCCGCGUGGGGGAUGAAGGCCUUCGGGUUGUAAACUCCUUUCGACAGGGACGAAGCUUUUGUGACGGUACCUGUAUAAGAAGCACCGGCUAACUACGUGCCAGCAGCCGCGGUAAUACGUAGGGUGCGAGCGUUGUCCGGAAUUACUGGGCGUAAAGAGCUCGUAGGUGGUUUGUCGCGUCGUCUGUGAAAUUCCGGGGCUUAACUCCGGGCGUGCAGGCGAUACGGGUUGACUUGAGUGCUGUAGGGGAGACUGGAAUUCCUGGUGUAGCGGUGAAAUGCGCAGAUAUCAGGAGGAACACCGACGGCGAAGGCAGGUCUCUGGGCAGUAACUGACGCUGAGGAGCGAAAGCAUGGGUAGCGAACAGGAUUAGAUACCCUGGUAGUCCAUGCCGUAAACGGUGGGCGCUAGGUGUAGGGGGCUUCCACGUCUUCUGUGCCGUAGCUAACGCAUUAAGCGCCCCGCCUGGGGAGUACGGCCGCAAGCUA